This 229-nucleotide unclassified non-coding RNA is filed under the name Hevea brasiliensis (rubber tree). Lineage: Eukaryota; Viridiplantae; Streptophyta; Magnoliopsida; Malpighiales; Euphorbiaceae. The record is from RNAcentral.
AGGUGCACCGCCUCAAGGCUGUAUACGACCAGAAGGUGGUCCCCCUCAUCACCGAGGAGUUCGGCUACACCAAUGUCCACCAGGUGCCCAAGGUUGAGAAGAUUGUAGUGAAUUGCGGGUUGGGGGCUGAAGCCGGUAACUCCAAGGGGCUCGAAUCCGCCAUGAAGGACCUCGCCAUGAUCACCGGCCAGUGGCCCGUCAAGACGAAGGCCAAGAAGUCCGUCGCCAG